This 22-nucleotide microRNA is filed under the name Loxodonta africana (African savanna elephant). Lineage: Eukaryota; Metazoa; Chordata; Mammalia; Proboscidea; Elephantidae. The record is from RNAcentral. RNAcentral also lists the same sequence under 4 other names.
AUAUACAGAGGGAGACUCUUAU